This 205-nucleotide long non-coding RNA is filed under the name Lathyrus oleraceus (garden pea). RNAcentral describes it as "Pisum sativum (pea) long non-coding RNA (PSAT_LNC011432)". Lineage: Eukaryota; Viridiplantae; Streptophyta; Magnoliopsida; Fabales; Fabaceae. The record is from RNAcentral.
UUCUUAGAAGUACUUAAGUUUUUCAUGUCAAACUCCUUUGCUAAUAUGAUUGUCGAUUCAUUUAAGUUAUGUAAAUAAUUAGCAACAAUAUAUAUGAGUUAACUAAUAUCUAACUUUCCAAGGCUCCCCACAUUUUCCUCUAUUUAGUGUCUACAUAUAUACGAGUCAUGCUCAACAAAACCACUUUUCUAAGUAUGUUAUAAAC